CAGCCGCCGCGGGAACACGAAGGGGGCUAGCGUUGUUCGGAUUUAUUGGGCGUAAAGCGAGCGCAGGCGGUUAGAUAAGUCUGAAGUUAAAGGCUGUGGCUUAACCAAAGUACGCUUUGGAAACUGUUUAACUUGAGUGCAAGAGGGGAGAGUGGAAUUCCAUGUGUAGCGGUGAAAUGCGUAGAUAUAUGGAGGAACACCGGUGGCGAAAGCGGCUCUCUGGCUUGUAACUGACGCUGAGGCUCGAAAGCGUGGGGAGCAAACAGGAUUAGAUACCCCAGUAGUCCCUGUCUCUUAUACC
RNAcentral lists this ribosomal RNA (301 nucleotides) under uncultured bacterium. RNAcentral describes it as "partial 16S ribosomal RNA". It matches the Rfam family "Bacterial small subunit ribosomal RNA", at positions 509 to 808 of the family's 1533-position model. The record is from RNAcentral.